RNAcentral lists this ribosomal RNA (253 nucleotides) under uncultured bacterium. RNAcentral describes it as "partial 16S ribosomal RNA". It matches the Rfam family "Bacterial small subunit ribosomal RNA", at positions 524 to 776 of the family's 1533-position model. The record is from RNAcentral.
UACAGAGGUCCCAAGCGUUGUUCGGAAUCACUGGGCUUAAAGGGCGCGUAGGCGGGCUCGCAAGUCAGGGGUGAAAGCCCGCGGCUCAACCGCGGAAGCGCCUUUGAUACUGCGGGCCUCGAGGGGGGUAGGGGCGUGCGGAACUUCCGGUGGAGCGGUGAAAUGCGUAGAUAUCGGAAGGAACACCGGUGGCGAAAGCGGCGCGCUGGACCCCUUCUGACGCUGAGGCGCGAAAGCCAGGGGAGCAAACGGG